GGCAGUUUAAAAAAAUGCAACUAUAUACAAGUUCAUCAAUUCCAGAUGUAAAGUCAAUAGCAAUUCAAGUGAUGACCACAGCAGUAACCUGGAGACCUGCAGUCUCAAUGUAUCAGAUCACAACUUAAAAAUAUCUCCCAAAGUAAAACACCAAGUACAAACCCCAGGUAAAUGACGGUCCUGAGGAACAGAUGUCAGGACAUCAGAUGUGAAGUUAAAGGAUCCAUCUAAAGACUAUCUGU
Molecule: long non-coding RNA, 242 nt
Filed under: Homo sapiens (human)
Lineage: Eukaryota; Metazoa; Chordata; Mammalia; Primates; Hominidae
Description: non-protein coding lnc-THBS1-6:2
Source: RNAcentral